This 1397-nucleotide long non-coding RNA is filed under the name Homo sapiens (human). RNAcentral describes it as "HSALNT0388626". Lineage: Eukaryota; Metazoa; Chordata; Mammalia; Primates; Hominidae. The record is from RNAcentral.
UUAUUCUGCUAAAAGAAAAAUCUCCCAGGUCAGAAGACGGGAGAGAAGUGCCGAAAUGCUUCAUGUUCACCAGAGCCUUCUGGUUCUACCACCCACCCUGGCCAGCUGCUCAGCUGCAGCCUCCUCUGUUUGUAUUGUGGGCGUGGAAUCAUCUGCUCUGUUUCAUCCGUCAAUACACCUCCAUCUGCUUUUAAUCUAAUUUUAAUUUUUUAUGAUUAUGAAAUGAUUUAAAUAGACAAAAAUUAUUAGGACAACCGGGUACCCACCACCCAGAUUUAACACAUGUUAACAUUUUGCCAUAGGUACUUUAGGUUCCAUUUACUUUCCAUUGUUUGGAAAUGGGUUCAACUCUUUCCACUACCGAUGUUCCUUAUCCUGUUUCUUUCUCCAUUAUGUGCUUGUGAUUCGAAAAGAAAUAACUGCAUUACUAUUAGGUUUUAAGAGAGAUGAGAAGCAGAGAUAUGUACUUAGUUUGCCAUCUUAAACUGGUAGCCUAGCCAGAUCUUUACUGUAAUAAUUUAAAAGACUUUGAUCUAGCCUGGUAUUUGUCAGUUUACUUUCAAUAGGAACUUGGCGGAAUAGAAAGUAAUCAGAUUUCACUGCAAAUACUGAAGUUUUGUUUUUCCUUUCAGCCAUUCAACCUAUUAUGUUAAGUUCCUACUAUGUGCUCAGCACUUAAAUAAAAUCUUUGGGGGAAAUACAAAAGAAGCUAAAAAUACGGUUUUUGCCAAAGAGUUAGGAAGACAAAAUUAAUGGACAUGCUGAUCUUUAAAGGUUAGAUAUGUAACUUCCAGCUGUGUGAUGCUUUAAAGUUUAUAAAUUGCUUUGCCAAGGCUCCUCAUUUGAUCUCUAAAACAACUAAGUGAGUGAGGCAUGGAUCAUGUUAUGAGUCUAUUUUAGAGAGAAAAGAAAUUAGUGUUGAGCAUAGGCAGAGGGAAGGCUGUAUGAUGAGGCUGUCCUUGGCCUGGAAUUUGAUGUGUAUGCAGUGUCCAGGUGAUGGAGAAUUGGAGGGUGUCCCCAACUGCUAUCUUUUUCACUGCCUCAUAAUGAAUUUCCUUUCUUAGCAUGAAAAGAAAAGAGGCAGGGCAGGUGACUCAUGUCUGUAAUCCCAGCACUUUGGGAGACUGAGGAGGGCAGAUCACUUGAGCCUAGGAGUUCAAGACCAUCCUUGGCAACACAGUGAGACCUCACCUCUAUAUAAAUUACACAACUUAACUGGGCAUGGUGGCACAUGCCUAUAGUUCCAGCUGCUUGGGAGACUGAGGUGGAAGGAUCAGUUGAGCCCAGGCUCACAGCACUGCACUCCAGCUUGGGCAACAGAGCAAAAUCCUGUCUCAAAAAACAGAAAGAAAGAGAAGAAAGAGAGAAAGAAAGAAAGAAAGAAAGAAAGAAAGAAA